UACGAAGGGUGCAAGCGUUAAUCGGAAUUACUGGGCGUAAAGCGUGCGCAGGCGGUUUUGUAAGUCUGACGUGAAAUCCCCGGGCUCAACCUGGGAAUUGCGUUGGAGACUGCAAGGCUAGAAUCUGGCAGAGGGGGGUAGAAUUCCACGUGUAGCAGUGAAAUGCGUAGAGAUGUGGAGGAACACCGAUGGCGAAGGCAGCCCCCUGGGUCAAGAUUGACGCUCAUGCACGAAAGCGUGGGGAGCGAACAGG
Molecule: ribosomal RNA, 253 nt
Filed under: uncultured bacterium
Lineage: Bacteria
Description: partial 16S ribosomal RNA
Rfam family: Bacterial small subunit ribosomal RNA
Source: RNAcentral